RNAcentral lists this ribosomal RNA (45 nucleotides) under Polydrusus inustus. RNAcentral's name for it is "partial 28S ribosomal RNA". The record is from RNAcentral. Lineage: Eukaryota; Metazoa; Arthropoda; Insecta; Coleoptera; Curculionidae.
CAAUUUAUCGACCUCAGAGCAGGUGAGACUACCCGCUGAAUUUAA